GCGGCGGACGGGUGCGUUUACGUGGGCAACCUGCCCUGCAGACUGGGAUAACUUCGGGAAACCGGAGCUAAUACCGGAUAACACCGAAAACCGCAUGGUUUUCGGUUGAAAGGCGGCUUUUAGCUGUCACUGCAGGAUGGGCCCGCGGCGCAUUAGCUAGUUGGUGAGGUAACGGCUCACCAAGGCGACGAUGCGUAGCCGACCUGAGAGGGUGACCGGCCACACUGGGACUGAGACACGGCCCACACUCCUACGGGAGGCAGCAGUAGGGAAUCUUCCGCAAUGGACGAAAAGUCUGACGGAGCAACGCCGCGUGAGCGAAGAAGGUCUUCGGAUCGUAAAGCUCUGUUGUCAGGGAAGAACAAGUGCCGUUCGAACAGGGCGGUACCUUGACGGUACCUGACGAGGAAGCCACGGCUAACUACGUGCCAGCAGCCGCGGUAAUAC
This 447-nucleotide ribosomal RNA is filed under the name Aeribacillus sp. U22D030. RNAcentral's name for it is "bacterial SSU rRNA". It matches the Rfam family "Bacterial small subunit ribosomal RNA", at positions 95 to 526 of the family's 1533-position model. Lineage: Bacteria; Bacillati; Bacillota; Bacilli; Caryophanales; Bacillaceae. The record is from RNAcentral.